GCCGAGGUAGCUCAGCGGUAGAGCAACGCUUUCGUAAAGCGUGGGUCGUGAGUUCAAUUCUCACCCUCGGCU
RNAcentral lists this transfer RNA (72 nucleotides) under Nanobdellota archaeon. RNAcentral describes it as "tRNA-Thr". It matches the Rfam family "tRNA". From Rfam's summary of the family: Transfer RNA (tRNA) molecules are approximately 80 nucleotides in length. Their secondary structure includes four short double-helical elements and three loops (D, anti-codon, and T loops). Further hydrogen bonds mediate the characteristic L-shaped molecular structure. tRNAs have two regions of fundamental functional importance: the anti-codon, which is responsible for specific mRNA codon recognition, and the 3' end, to which the tRNAs corresponding amino acid is attached (by aminoacyl-tRNA synthetases). tRNAs cope with the degeneracy of the genetic code in two manners: having more than one tRNA (with a specific anti-codon) for a particular amino acid; and 'wobble' base-pairing, i.e. permitting non-standard base-pairing at the 3rd anti-codon position. Lineage: Archaea; Nanobdellati; Nanobdellota. The record is from RNAcentral.